UUACUACACCGUAUUCUGUGAGUUGCGAACGGGUGAGUAACGCGUAGGUAACCUGCCUGGUAGCGGGGGAUAACUAUUGGAAACGAUAGCUAAUACCGCAUAAGAACAUUUACUGCAUGGUAGAUGUUUAAAAGGUGCAAAAGCAUCACUACCAGAUGGACCUGCGUUGUAUUAGCUAGUUGGUGAGGUAACGGCUCACCAAGGCAACGAUACAUAGCCGACCUGAGAGGGUGAUCGGCCACACUGGGACUGAGACACGGCCCAGACUCCUACGGGAGGCAGCAGUAGGGAAUCUUCGGCAAUGGGGGGAACCCUGACCGAGCAACGCCGCGUGAGUGAAGAAGGUUUUCGGAUCGUAAAGCUCUGUUGUUAAGGAAGAACGUGUGUGAGAGUGGAAAGUUCACACAGUGACGGUACUUAACCAGAAAGGGACGGCUAACUACGUGCCAGCAGCCGCGGUAAUACGUAGGUCCCGAGCGUUGUCCGGAUUUAUUGGGCGUAAAGCGAGCGCAGGCGGUUAGAUAAGUCUGAAGUGAAAGGCAGUGGCUCAACCAUUGUAGGCUUUGGAAACUGUUUAACUUGAGUGCAGAAGGGGAGAGUGGAAUUCCAUGUGUAGCGGUGAAAUGCGUAGAUAUAUGGAGGAACACCGGUGGCGAAAGCGGCUCUCUGGUCUGUAACUGACGCUGAGGCUCGAAAGCGUGGGGAGCGAACAGGAUUAGAUACCCUGGUAGUCCACGCCGUAAACGAUGAGUGCUAGGUGUUAGGUCCUUUCC
This 773-nucleotide ribosomal RNA is filed under the name uncultured Streptococcaceae bacterium. RNAcentral's name for it is "bacterial SSU rRNA". It matches the Rfam family "Bacterial small subunit ribosomal RNA", at positions 74 to 835 of the family's 1533-position model. Lineage: Bacteria; Bacillati; Bacillota; Bacilli; Lactobacillales; Streptococcaceae. The record is from RNAcentral.